UGGGGAAUAUUGCACAAUGGGGGAAACCCUGAUGCAGCGACGCCGCGUGAACGAAGAAGUUAUUCGUAUCGUAAAGUUCUGUCCUAUGGGAAGAUAAUGACAGUACCAUAGAAGAAAGCUCCGGCUAAAUACGUGCCAGCAGCCGCGGUAAUACGUAUGGAGCGAGCGUUGUCCGGAAGUAUUGGGCGUAAAGGGUACGCAGGCGGUUUAAUAAGUCGAAUGUUAAAGAUCGGGGCUCAACCCCGCAAAGCAUUGGAAACUGAUAAACUUGAGUAGUGGAGAGGAAAGUGGAAUUCCUAGUGUAGUGGUGAAAUACGUAGAUAUUAGGAGGGAUACCAGUAGCGAAGGCGACUUUCUGGACACAAACUGACGCUGAGGGACGAAAGCGUGGGGGGCAAACAGG
Molecule: ribosomal RNA, 403 nt
Filed under: bacterium
Lineage: Bacteria
Description: partial 16S ribosomal RNA
Rfam family: Bacterial small subunit ribosomal RNA
Source: RNAcentral